This 253-nucleotide ribosomal RNA is filed under the name uncultured bacterium. Its description in RNAcentral is "partial 16S ribosomal RNA". It matches the Rfam family "Bacterial small subunit ribosomal RNA", at positions 524 to 776 of the family's 1533-position model. The record is from RNAcentral.
UACAGAGGUCCCGAGCGUUGUUCGGAUUCAUUGGGCGUAAAGGGUGCGUAGGCGGCGGGGUAAGUCUGAUGUGAAAUCCUGGGGCUCAACCCCAGAACUGCAUUGGAUACUGCCUUGCUAGAGUACUGGAGAGGAAGCUGGAAUUUACGGUGUAGCAGUGAAAUGCGUAGAGAUCGUAAGGAAGACCAGUGGCGAAGGCGAGUUUCUGGACAGUAACUGACGCUGAGGCACGAAGGCCAGGGGAGCAAACGGG